GCUGAGGCUGAAGGAGCAGAUAGAGCUGGAGCUGGCAGUCUUCGUCCUUGUCUACAGGGUGAUCAAACUGUCCAUCCGGGUCAUGGUGCUGGAGCCACCAGCAGCUCCAUGACGGAUCCAUCACUCCUGGGGUCCUCGUCACCUUCCUGCUGUACCAGGACAGAGUUGGUAGCCAUAUCCAGGUGCUGCUCUACAGCUUCAAUGAAUUCCUGACCAACGCAGCUGCUGGACAGAGGAUCUGGGAAUACCUGAAUUGGAAACCCGCAGGGAAUGUCGGGGGGACGCGGAAGCCCCCUGAGCUUCAGGGCCAUUUCACUUUUCAGAAGGUCUCCUUCACAUAUCCUGGAAAUCCAGAGCACCCUGUGCUGAAGGACGUGAGCUUCGAGGUGCGCUUCGGGGAGGUGACGGCGCUGGCGGGGCCCAAUGGCAGCGGGAAGAGCACGG
Molecule: long non-coding RNA, 444 nt
Organism: Melospiza georgiana
Lineage: Eukaryota; Metazoa; Chordata; Aves; Passeriformes; Passerellidae
Exons: 4
Source: RefSeq, a predicted model, not a curated record